RNAcentral lists this ribosomal RNA (253 nucleotides) under uncultured bacterium. RNAcentral describes it as "partial 16S ribosomal RNA". It matches the Rfam family "Bacterial small subunit ribosomal RNA", at positions 524 to 776 of the family's 1533-position model. The record is from RNAcentral.
GACGUAGGGGGCCAGCGUUGCUCGGAAUUACUGGGCGUAAAGGGUUCGUAGGCGGUGCGGCAAGUUGGGAGUGAAAUCUCUGGGCUUAACUCAGGGGCUGCUUUCAAAACUGCCGCGCUCGAGUGCGAGAGAGGUCAGUGGAAUUGCAGGUGUAGCGGUGAAAUGCGUAGAUAUCUGCAGGAACACCCGUGGCGAAGGCGGCUGACUGGAUCGCAACUGACGCUGAGGAACGAAAGCUAGGGGAGCAAACAGG